RNAcentral lists this ribosomal RNA (616 nucleotides) under uncultured Legionella sp. RNAcentral describes it as "bacterial SSU rRNA". It matches the Rfam family "Bacterial small subunit ribosomal RNA", at positions 242 to 849 of the family's 1533-position model. The record is from RNAcentral. Lineage: Bacteria; Pseudomonadati; Pseudomonadota; Gammaproteobacteria; Legionellales; Legionellaceae.
UAGCUAGUUGGUGGGGUAAAGGCUUACCAAGGCGACGAUCGGUAGCUGGUCUGAGAGGAUGGCCAGCCACACUGGAACUGAGACACGGUCCAGACUCCUACGGGAGGCAGCAGUGGGGAAUAUUGGACAAUGGGGACAACCCUGAUCCAGCAAUGCCGCGUGUGUGAAGAAGGCCUGAGGGUUGUAAAGCACUUUCAGUGGGGAGGAGGAUUAUUAGGUUAAGAGCUAGAUAAUUGGACGUUACCCACAGAAGAAGCACCGGCUAACUCCGUGCCAGCAGCCGCGGUAAUACGGAGGGUGCAAGCGUUAAUCGGAAUUACUGGGCGUAAAGGGUGCGUAGGUGGUUAGUUAAGUUAUCUGUGAAAUUCCUGGGCUCAACCUGGGGUGGUCAGAUAAGACUGAUUGACUUGAGUGUGGGAGAGGGUAGUGGAAUUUCCGGUGUAGCGGUGAAAUGCGUAGAGAUCGGAAGGAACACCAGUGGCGAAGGCGGCUACCUGGCCUAACACUGACACUGAGGCACGAAAGCGUGGGGGGCAAACAGGAUUAGAUACCCUGGUAGUCCACGCCGUAAACGAUGUCAACUAGCUGUUGGUUAUAUGAAUAUAAUUAGUAGCGA